UACGUAGGGUGCGAGCGUUAAUCGGAAUUACUGGGCGUAAAGCGUGCGCAGGCGGCUGUGCAAGACAGAUGUGAAAUCCCCGGGCUCAACCUGGGAACUGCAUUUGUGACUGCACGGCUGGAGUGCGGCAGAGGGGGAUGGAAUUCCGCGUGUAGCAGUGAAAUGCGUAGAUAUGCGGAGGAACACCGAUGGCUAAGGCAAUCCCCUGGGCCUGCACUGACGCUCAUGCACGAAAGCGUGGUGAUCAAACAGG
RNAcentral lists this ribosomal RNA (253 nucleotides) under uncultured bacterium. Its description in RNAcentral is "partial 16S ribosomal RNA". It matches the Rfam family "Bacterial small subunit ribosomal RNA", at positions 524 to 776 of the family's 1533-position model. The record is from RNAcentral.